UUUUGUUUCAAGAUGGAUAGGGACGGAAACAGACUGUACAAAAGAUCCGGCACUGUAUAAUAAUGGAUCAAUGACAAGAUGCCCAGAAGUCAGUGAAAUAAAUUAUAUGUUAUUAGCUGUUUAUACGGUCUUGACGCAUAUCAUUCUCGUCAAUUUUCUUAUAGCAAUGUUUGCGUAAGUAUUUGAUAGACAAACCUAUUUUGUAUUUAUGUGUGUUUUUGGUUUAUUAACAGAGGAAACUAUCAUUAAGAAUGAGUUCAAAUAUUACAAGAGCAAUGCCUUAUAUGAGAGUAAUUUAUAUUGAAAAAUAUAGUCAUUGGAUAGGUUCCAAUAUUUUUAUUUUCAUAAUUUUUUGAAAGCAUAUAGUGUCAAGGAGUUAACCGUCCUAAACUUUAAACACUGUAAUACGAUCAUUGAAUAUGGUUUUUAUUGGUAUAGAUAUUGAUUUUGUUAUCAGUAGAUUAAAAGCUAACUAAAUAUUACGAGUAUGUUAUAUACAAUAUAAAUUUUCAAGGAUCUACGAUCUGUCGAUACCUGUAACUUGGCAUUGAACAAGGUCAUGUUCUUCUCUGGCUGUAUAUGACGUCUUUACACUAAAUCCAUUGUAUGUUGGAUGUGUACGGAUUGAGUGUUUAGAGUCUUAGAGGCUUCAUUUUUUUUAUUAGUUGUUAGUGGCUUUGAACUAGCUGUCAGAUAACUGCGAGUACUCUCAGAUCUGUUCAUUGUGUCUUUUUGUGUCGGGAUGUAUAAGUACCCGGCCACGUCCACUUGUAUUUUUUGUUUAUCAUGCCUUUUUCAACUGAUUUUUAUAGUUUGUUCUUAUGUUGUACUGUUAUACCACUGUCUCAGGUUAGGGGAGGGUUGGGAUCCCGCUAACAUGUUUAACCCCGCCACAUUAUUUAUGUAUGUGCCUGUCCCAAGUCAGGAGCCUGUAAUUCAGUGGUUGUCUUUUGUUUAUGUGUUACAUUUUUGUUUUUCGUUAAUUUUCUUACUUAAAUAAGGCCGUUAGUUUUCUCGUUUGAAUUGUUUUACAUUGUCUGAUCGGGGCCUUUUAUAGCUGACUAUGCGGUAUGGGCUUUGCUCAUUGUUGAAGGCCGUACGGUGACCUAUAGUUGUUAAUGUUUGUUUUAUUUUGGUCUUUUGUGGAUAGUUGUCUGAUUGGCAAUCAUACCACACCUUCUUUUUUAUAUUUUAAAAAGAUAGUUGCAUGGAGUCGGAACCUAAACUCAGCAGGUUUCAUUAAAUGUUAAAUCACAGGCUGAAACACAACCGACGGACUGCAUGUUAAGUAAAAUUUCGUGAAUCAGAAACACACAUAUAUAAACUCUUAACAAAUGUGUUUAAUCUUUAUAAUUCUACACGCAAUGAUUUGCAAUUGUAUUUUGACAUUUUAUUUUAUGAGCGGUCAAAUCCAGAGUUGAGAUAUCGUAACAACAGAAUGAGAAGCUAUAUUGCCUUUAGGAAAUCAACACCUACCUCAAAAUCUCUAUCAAAAUGGGAUAUUAUGCAAGUUUUAUCCGUAUAAAAAAGGAAUAUAGUAAAUACACCAAUAUCAUGAUUUUGUUUAUAAGUAGUACGAACUGAACUGGUGUGUCACAGUCUCAUAUUAUAAAAGAAAGGCGAAUUAUACCAAAGGGAUAUUCAAGACCAUAAGUCGAAGAAUAAAAGAUAAUCACAUGGCACCAACCCCCAAAAAAAAUCGAACGACGAAUAACUGAACAAAAAAACAGACAUGGAAAAUAAAAUAAAAGCUAAACAUACCCUACCACAAACCUUGGGUGAUCUCUAGUGCUCCGGAGAAGAAGUAAGACUGAACGAUUGUAUUAUCUUCAUAUUUACUCCUUCUGUAAUGGUAAUUGUCGAUUCUGUUGAUUUACAAAUUUUGAUUUACUUGCUUAUUAGACAUCGCCUUGACGGCCUUUCUAUCUGAAUGACCUAUGCAACAUUGACAUGUGUAAUGUUGUUUUUCUUUUGCGCUUAAUAAGGUUGAAAUUGUGGAAGUGCAAAUCCAUGUUCAUCCUUUUUUGAUAACUGCAUCAUGUGAAACAAAUUGUUUCCGUAGGUACCAAACACUGCUGUCUACAAAGAUAUUCUAACAUUUGGAACAAAAUGAACUAUUUUACACAACAUCAAGUCUAUUUUUCGUUACGGAUUAAUUUUUCUCAUGUCUUAUUUUGUCAGGCAUACAUUUACAAGGUCUCAAGACAACAAUGAACUGGUUUGGAAGUUUCAUCGAUUUUCGCUUGUCCAAGAGUAUUAUGACAGGUGUCUGUUGAUACCACCGCUGAUAAUACUAAAUCACACGAAGAGAGCUUUCUUUUUCAUCUUGGGUAAAUGUUGCCAUGUCAGAAACACAAAGCACGUAAAUGUUUU
This 2373-nucleotide long non-coding RNA is filed under the name Mytilus galloprovincialis (Mediterranean mussel). The record is from RNAcentral. Lineage: Eukaryota; Metazoa; Mollusca; Bivalvia; Mytilida; Mytilidae.